CGGGAGGCUCCACCAGUGGGGAAUAUUGCACAAUGGGGGAAACCCUGAUGCAGCGACGCCGCGUGAGUGAAGAAGUAUUUCGGUAUGUAAAGCUCUAUCAGCAGGGAAGAAAAUGACGGUACCUGACUAAGAAGCCCCGGCUAACUACGUGCCAGCAGCCGCGGUAAUACGUAGGGGGCAAGCGUUAUCCGGAUUUACUGGGUGUAAAGGGGGCGUAGACGGUGAGACAAGUCUGAAGUGAAAUCCCGGGGCUCAACCCCGGAACUGCUUUGGAAACUGCCUGACUGGAGUGCAGGAGAGGUAAGUGGAAUUCCUAGUGUAGCGGUGAAAUGCGUAGAUAUUAGGAGGAACACCAGUGGCGAAGGCGGCUUACUGGACUGUAACUGACGUUGAGGCUCGAAAGCGUGGGGAGCAAACAGGAUUAGAUACCCCGGUAGUC
This 439-nucleotide ribosomal RNA is filed under the name uncultured bacterium. RNAcentral's name for it is "partial 16S ribosomal RNA". It matches the Rfam family "Bacterial small subunit ribosomal RNA", at positions 342 to 795 of the family's 1533-position model. The record is from RNAcentral.